Molecule: transfer RNA, 78 nt
Filed under: Streptococcus infantis
Lineage: Bacteria; Bacillati; Bacillota; Bacilli; Lactobacillales; Streptococcaceae
Description: tRNA-OTHER
Rfam family: tRNA
About the family: Transfer RNA (tRNA) molecules are approximately 80 nucleotides in length. Their secondary structure includes four short double-helical elements and three loops (D, anti-codon, and T loops).
Source: RNAcentral
AAGGACAUAGCUCAGUGGGGGAGCGAUAUGACCAUAAAGGGUCUGAAACGUACGCGGGUUCGAUUCCUGCUGUUCUUA